GAUCCUGGCUCAGGACGAACGCUGGCGGCGUGCCUAACACAUGCAAGUCGAACGGAAGUUAGAGCUUCGGUUUUAACUUUAGUGGCGAACGGGUGAGUAACGCGUGAGGAACCUGCCUUUCAGUGGGGGACAACAGUUGGAAACGACUGCUAAUACCGCAUGACACUUUUGGGAGACAUCUCCUGGAAGUCAAAGCUUUAUGUGCUGAAAGAUGGCCUCGCGUCUGAUUAGCUAGUUGGUGAGGUAACGG
This 250-nucleotide ribosomal RNA is filed under the name uncultured bacterium. Its description in RNAcentral is "partial 16S ribosomal RNA". It matches the Rfam family "Bacterial small subunit ribosomal RNA", at positions 15 to 263 of the family's 1533-position model. The record is from RNAcentral.